GAAGUAAUUUUGCUUUUCCAACAAAUAUAUUUCCAAAACUUGACACUGAUUUCUUCUUAACAUGAUGUUUUUGCAGAUUUUUACUACUACUGCGAUUCAGCAUCUUCUUUUUGUUGUGUUUGAUUUGGCCAAUGCAUGAAACUUUUGGUGAACUUGGUUCUGAUUUAUUUCUUCCGGAUUGAACAAUUCAACAUCUUCUUUUUGUUGUGUUUGAUUUGCCCAAUGCAUGAAACUUUUGGUGAACUUGGUUCUGAUUUAUUUCUUCCGGAUUUAUCUGCUGGGAUUACUGAUAUGAU
This 296-nucleotide long non-coding RNA is filed under the name Nicotiana benthamiana. Its description in RNAcentral is "long non-coding RNA (NBEN_LNC014626)". The record is from RNAcentral. Lineage: Eukaryota; Viridiplantae; Streptophyta; Magnoliopsida; Solanales; Solanaceae.